This is a long non-coding RNA of Hevea brasiliensis (rubber tree), 1382 nucleotides long. RefSeq lists it as uncharacterized. The record is from RefSeq and is a predicted model, not a curated record. The transcript has 3 exons. NCBI's taxonomy places the organism in Eukaryota, Viridiplantae, Streptophyta, Magnoliopsida, Malpighiales, Euphorbiaceae.
CUUUCCCUCACUUUUUCUCAUUGCAUUUACUUCACUUUCUUCCUCUUCCUCUCCUUCUUCUUCUCUUCUCUUUUCUCUCUCUCUUUCUUGCAGCAUGAAAGGAAGGAAAAAGCCUUCAGAGGUGAAAGUCAGGCAUAAGUUUCUUCAAGGCAAUCUUGAAGUUAGAAUCAUGCAUAGGAACAUGAACAACAACAACGACACCAUCUGCAAGGCUUCCACUGGUGGAAUUUUAACCGAUUUUCUGUUUGGUGCUAAAAGCCUCUUUGUAACGGUGGCUUGUUCAUGUUGAUUUGGUGCUAUCCUACCUGAGCUUUUACUACUAUCUUCUUUUUUAUUUAAUCUUCUUGACCUUGUAAGACCUUUUCUUGACCUUGUAAGACCCUUCUUUAUAUUUGUUUAUCUAAAUUUUUAUAUUGUCCUAUACUCUGUAUCAAAAUUUUUUGAUAUAGAGUUUCAUAUUAGUUUUUUUCUGUUUUUGCCCAACUCAUAUUCUUUUUCCUUAUCUAUCCCUCCAGAGCUGUUUGCAUAAAACUAUUAUAUCUAUCCUCAAAAUCAUCCUGUUAAAGAGUAUUUAGAAGUCUCUCGAAGUUUAUGUAAGCAACAAAGACUUUUUGUUUUUCUUUGGUUCACGGCAGAGGAAGAAAAAAAAAAAUCCUUUGGGCUGUAUUUGAGGCAGAUUUAUAAAAGAGUACUUGAACCACCGGUGAAAACUCUCUUUCCUUUUGUUUACGAAAUAUGCCGUUGCAGGCAUCAGUUUCGUUGUUUUAUAUGUUGGCUGAGAAAGUGAAUAAAAGAAUAAAUAGUCCCUCAGAUCUCUGUAAAGACGUCCCCUCGUGACUGCUCUUAUGUACAAACGUAUGUCCACUGUAUUAUUGGAGGGUUCCGCCCUCAAUCCUCUCUCUCUCUCUCUCUCUCUCUCUCUCUCUCUCUCUCUCUAUUCACCUAAGGACCUUUUGUACCAAGAAAAGUUGUUCAUGAAAAAGCUGAUUACCCUACUGUGACAAGCCUUUUUUCCACAGCUCAUAAAUGUCAAGAUCAUACAGAGAUGUAAAAGGAAGAAAGUUUUUUUUUUUUUUUUUUUUUUAUAACUCACGGUUUCUUCUUUUAUACAAGACAAGUGGGAUAAUACAAUGUGAGCUCAAUUUGGCAGUUGAUAUGCCCUAACAGUGUACCCAUUUCUACAAAUAUACCAGAGCAUUAAGCGGCAAAAAUAUACUGCUUCCUCUCCAUUGUGGACUUUUGAGCUGAAAUAACACAUCUAGUUUCAUGCUCUGCCAAACCUAAUCCAGUUCAUGUGUACCAGAUGAUUAGUUCUGCAAAUCUUCCUGUAAUGUAAACUUCUAAUGUUCUACAGAGUGAAAUAAAAAAAAAAAAAAAGAAAA